This is a long non-coding RNA of Betta splendens (Siamese fighting fish), 950 nucleotides long. RefSeq lists it as uncharacterized. Lineage: Eukaryota; Metazoa; Chordata; Actinopteri; Anabantiformes; Osphronemidae. The record is from RefSeq and is a predicted model, not a curated record. The transcript is spliced from 2 exons.
GUAUCACACUCCUAAAAAAUGCAGAAGUUAGUUUUUUAGUUUAGUUUUGAAAGUAAAACAUUUCUGAUGUAAAACAUUACAGGUGUCACACAGAUCAAACCAUCUUUAUUUUAUAUAGAAAAGGAAGAGCUGCCCACUGCUGCAUGGAACAAUGACACUUAUAAGAACAAUCUAUUCUGUAGAGUGCACACAGCUGUUCUGCUCUCAUUUAUAUGUCAAUAAAUACCUGUCUGUAUAGUCUGUAUUAUUUAGAAUCUAAUACACAAACAUACAUUAACGCUGAGCCACACAUUGUUGUUUCUCACAGCUGUUACAACAUUGUUUCUUAAAGCUGUUUCAAGACGUGAGUGUCAUUUAGUACAUGAGGACUGUUUAUAUAAGGAACUGUUUAGAAAAUAAAAAUUUGUUAUUGCCACUAAUUUAUUAAUUUAUUGAUUUCUGAACCGUCACAAACAGUAUUUUGCCAUGUUUUUAAAGCAGUGCUGACUACAGCUACAUGGACAACCGUGGAACCUGGUAAGAACAUAUAGACAGUGAUCUUGGUCAUCGCAUGGCCUCUCAUUAAACAGGAGCCACGUAAAUCCUGAAUGUUUUAGACAGUAAUUACAUUUCUCCACUGUUCAUAGCUGAUUUCACAAACGACUCAACUCAACUCAACUUGUUCUGUGUUGUUGGAAUCAUGGUGUUGGUCAUUGCAGCAUUAGCUGUGUAUGUUACACCCAAGCCGGUGUGUAAAGACCACAAUUGUGUGUAAAACUCCAGGAGCAAAACUGAGCCACAUCCAGAGAAUCAGUGGCUCCUCCUCUUCACACUGACGAGCCUUGGCUGAGACACUGUAAUGGAAUGUAGCAGGUUUCCUCAGUGAACAUCAAUAAAACAUUUACAAAUACGUUAUAAUGAAACCAAGAAUGAAUAUUUAGCAAUACACUUAAAUAAAUGGUGACACAGUC